GUGCUGCCCUCCUGUUGAUUCCUCAGAUUUAUUAAGAGUUUCUGCCCUGCUUUGUACACUCUCUAAAUUCAUCUUAAAAUCCUGCUAGAUACAUGGGUGGGUUGGUUUUGGGUAUUUUGAUGCUCACUACAACACCUGUUGAAAAAGUUGACAUAGCUCCAAUGGUGUUAUCCUUCUGCCCAUGGCUGUAAGCACUGUCUUUUCCUCCAGUUUAAUCUGCACUGCAUAUAAAGUUAAUAGCUCUCACAAUCAAUAAAAGUUACCGGUUCCAGUAGGUAAGGUGGAAGAACUUUUUAUAGAACUGUUGAUAAGAGAAGCCAGGAAAAAACUGCUAAACAGAUAACACAGUCUCUAAGAGCUUACUCUUCUACACAUACUGUGUGUGCAUUAACAGAAUACAAGCCUAUACUUGAAAUGAUACAGCAGAAAAAUAUUUAGGAUAUGGAGAACAUAUGUAGAAAAGUAAGCAUGAAGUGAAAGGAGGGUCAAGAACACAUUUCUACCCACUUGUUUUUCUCUAGAUAUUACUGCAUGCUGACAGAGUAAUAACAUUUAAGUUACACUUUCAGGAUUUCAGCUUUCCAAGGACUUCAAAAUGUUUUUCAGCCAUAGGCAGACCCUGUAUGAGUCAUGCACCAGGUUAAUGGUGGUUCUUGUAUCUAAAAAUACCUGCAUCUGCACCUCAAAUUAAUUCUCUUCUAAUUAGUUCCACCUCUAUUAGAAACUUCAACAAAAAUCAACAGCAAAGAUUUUAACCAAAAUGCCACCAAAAUGCAGAGGAAAUAAUUUAAUGCAAAGAAUCAUAGAAUCAAAGAAUUAUUAAGGUUGGAAAAGACCUCUACGAAGAUGUAGUCCAAAUGUCAGCUCAUCCCUGACAACAUCCCUCAGUGCCACAUCUCCACAGCUCUUGAACACCUCCAGGGACGAUGACUGCACCACUUCCAGCAGUGCCAGUGCCCAAACAGUGCUCCUUCUGAGAAGAAAUUGGAGCAGAAGAGUUCAGAAGAAGAUCCUGAACUUUGCCUUGAAUUAAGCCUGGACAGGAAAUACGGGAUGGAAAACAACAUCUGCUUAUCAAUUGGAAAUUACAUGUAAGA
RNAcentral lists this long non-coding RNA (1097 nucleotides) under Chrysolophus pictus (golden pheasant). RNAcentral's name for it is "lncRNA (ENSCPIG00010001908.1)". Lineage: Eukaryota; Metazoa; Chordata; Aves; Galliformes; Phasianidae. The record is from RNAcentral.